AGCGAACGCUGGCGGCGUGCUUAACACAUGCAAGUCGAGGGAGAACGGCGGGCUUCGGCCUUCCUAGUAAACCGGCGCACGGGUGAGUAACACGUAGGUAACCUACCUUCGAGACUGGGAUAACUCAUCGAAAGAUGGGCUAAUACCGGAUAUGACCACGGGAGUCUCGGCUCCUGCGGUAAAAGAUGGCCUCUGCUUGCAAGCUAUCACUCGAGGAUGGGCCUGCGCGCCAUUAGCUAGUUGGUGAGGUAACGGCUCACCAAGGCUACGAUGGCUAGUUGGUCUGAGAGGAUGACCAGCCACACUGGGACUGAGACACGG
This 321-nucleotide ribosomal RNA is filed under the name uncultured bacterium. RNAcentral describes it as "bacterial SSU rRNA". It matches the Rfam family "Bacterial small subunit ribosomal RNA", at positions 29 to 329 of the family's 1533-position model. The record is from RNAcentral.